UCCUCUUUAGCUUAGUUGGUAGAGCCAUUUGAGCACUGUUAUUGGGUUGUAAUAAGCAUCGCUUGGUUGAAGAUUAUGAAUGGUGUCGAAAUCAAUACAACGGACUGUUAAUCCGUGUGUCGCUGGUUCAAGCCCAGCAAGAGGAGCCA
This 149-nucleotide transfer RNA is filed under the name Psychromonas sp. 14N.309.X.WAT.B.A12. Its description in RNAcentral is "tRNA-Asn". Lineage: Bacteria; Pseudomonadati; Pseudomonadota; Gammaproteobacteria; Alteromonadales; Psychromonadaceae. The record is from RNAcentral.